GGGGAAUAUUGCACAAUGGGCGCAAGCCCGAUGCAGCCAUGCCGCGUGUGUGAAGAAGGCCUUCGGGUUGUAAAGCACUUUCAGCGGGGAGGAAGGCAAUACGGUUAAUAACCGUGUUGAUUGACGUCACCCGCAGAAGAAGCACCGGCUAACUCCGUGCCAGCAGCCGCGGUAAUACGGAGGGUGCAAGCGUUAAUCGGAAUUACUGGGCGUAAAGCGCACGCAGGCGGUCUGUCAAGUCGGAUGUGAAAUCCCCGGGCUCAACCUGGGAACUGCAUUCGAAACUGGCAGGCUUGAGUCUUGUAGGGGGGGGUAGAAUUCCAGGUGUAGCGGUGAAAUGCGUAGAGAUCUGGAGGAAUACCGGUGGCGAAGGCGGCCCCCUGGACAAAGACUGACGCUCAGGGGCGAAAGCGUGGGGAGCAAAC
Molecule: ribosomal RNA, 425 nt
Filed under: uncultured bacterium
Lineage: Bacteria
Description: bacterial SSU rRNA
Rfam family: Bacterial small subunit ribosomal RNA
Source: RNAcentral